This 847-nucleotide ribosomal RNA is filed under the name uncultured Halomonas sp. Its description in RNAcentral is "bacterial SSU rRNA". It matches the Rfam family "Bacterial small subunit ribosomal RNA", at positions 9 to 844 of the family's 1533-position model. The record is from RNAcentral. Lineage: Bacteria; Pseudomonadati; Pseudomonadota; Gammaproteobacteria; Oceanospirillales; Halomonadaceae.
GAGUUUGAUCCUGGCUCAGAUUGAACGCUGGCGGCAGGCCUAACACAUGCAAGUCGAGCGGAAACGAUGGAAGCUUGCUUCCAGGCGUCGAGCGGCGGACGGGUGAGUAAUGCAUAGGAAUCUGCCCGGUAGUGGGGGAUAACCUGGGGAAACUCAGGCUAAUACCGCAUACGUCCUACGGGAGAAAGCAGGGGCUCUUCGGACCUUGCGCUAUCGGAUGAGCCUAUGCCGGAUUAGCUAGUUGGUGAGGUAAUGGCUCACCAAGGCCGCGAUCCGUAGCUGGUCUGAGAGGAUGAUCAGCCACAUCGGGACUGAGACACGGCCCGAACUCCUACGGGAGGCAGCAGUGGGGAAUAUUGGACAAUGGGCGCAAGCCUGAUCCAGCCAUGCCGCGUGUGUGAAGAAGGCCCUCGGGUUGUAAAGCACUUUCAGUGAGGAAGAACGCCUGGCGGUUAAUACCCGCCAGGGAAGACAUCACUCACAGAAGAAGCACCGGCUAACUCCGUGCCAGCAGCCGCGGUAAUACGGAGGGUGCGAGCGUUAAUCUGGAAUUACUGGGCGUAAAGCGCGCGUAGGUGGCUUGAUCAGCCGGUUGUGAAAGCCCCGGGCUCAAUCCUGGGAACGGCAUCCGGAACUGUCAGGCUAGAGUGCAGGAGAGGAAGGUAGAAUUCCCGGUGUAGCGGUGAAAUGCGUAGAGAUCGGGAGGAAUACCAGUGGCGAAGGCGGCCUUCUGGACUGACACUGACACUGAGGUGCGAAAGCGUGGGUAGCCAAACAGGAUUAGAUACCCUGGUAGUCCACGCCGUAAACGAUGUCGACUAGCCGUUGGGUCCCUCGCGGACUUUGU